This 325-nucleotide long non-coding RNA is filed under the name Fukomys damarensis (Damara mole-rat). RNAcentral describes it as "lncRNA (ENSFDAG00000028788.1)". Lineage: Eukaryota; Metazoa; Chordata; Mammalia; Rodentia; Bathyergidae. The record is from RNAcentral.
GUGGGAAUCUGGGAGUUGAGGAAGAGCAAAAGACGGCUGCAUUGGGGAAUAAUGAAAAAUGAGGAGCUUGUGAGUGAGAGGGACUGAUAAGAUAAAAUGCAUUUAGGUUGCCUAUCCGAUGUCAGAAGCCAUGGCCUGCUGCUCUGACGUUGCCUUUUCACAGAGCAUUUCUUGAAGGUUCCCAAGCUGCAGGUGCCCAGGCCUACACCUGCCUUCAGGCUUUCCUGUGAAGAGAUACGAGAAGACCAGCAUUUUACAACCGACUUCAAGGAACAUUAGAAACUCAGAAUAACCUGCUUGCUUUGAACUCAUUUGGACAAAGGAG